Molecule: long non-coding RNA, 761 nt
Organism: Numida meleagris (helmeted guineafowl)
Lineage: Eukaryota; Metazoa; Chordata; Aves; Galliformes; Numididae
Exons: 3
Source: RefSeq, a predicted model, not a curated record
AAAACCCCAAACCCCUCCUUUUCAUCCUAGCACAAGCCGCUCUACAUUUCAGCUUUACUUCCAGACCCUUUUCCAGUAGUGUUUCUACUGUGAGCUCUGCAAGAGGUCCCUCCGCUGAUCCGCUGUGCAUCCUGGAAGUUUCUCCAUGCACAGAAAACAUUAAGAGGAGAGCAAGGAGUCAGCAAGUUGGCACGCCCUCCUGGCACAGACUGGCAAGAGGAUUGUAAAACUGAGAAGGGUGCUAGGUCUGUGCUGCUGUUUUAGGGGAGCGCUGCAGGUAAAAAACUGCCAGAACAUUCAGCUGGUGUCUGAAGGGCUACACAAACAGGAAGUUUUCCCUAAUUCUCCUGAGAAGCACAGCUUUUGCCACAUUGAUUUUGAGAGACGGAAAACACUGAGGCUGCAGGAAGCUCUCACUGCAGCAGCCUCCGUUCCACAUCAGAGCCCCGAGGCCUCCAUCCUCAUUAGAAAGCCUUUCCCAGGAGGCCAGGGCUGCAGCAGCUGAUGGCAGAUCCAGCAGUAACAGCCGGUGACCAAACUCCCUGAGCCCCUGGAAUAAAAGCAAGAAGCAGUACGUGAAACACGUGGUGCCUCAGAACAAGCCUCCUAAGCCGCCAGUUUGGCAGUCACCAGCCCUCCCCUGCACCUAGCUGGCACUGACACUGCUGAAGAAAAACGCAGCUCCUGGACCGCAUCAGGCUGCCCCUCCUUUUUGUUAGGUUAAGCCACAUGUGUAUGGCUUUCCCAGCUACAAGUCCUGA